RNAcentral lists this microRNA (18 nucleotides) under Chiloscyllium plagiosum (whitespotted bambooshark). Its description in RNAcentral is "microRNA PC-3p-60434_14". The record is from RNAcentral. Lineage: Eukaryota; Metazoa; Chordata; Chondrichthyes; Orectolobiformes; Hemiscylliidae.
UUCCUCUUCUUUCCACCA